GCUGGGCACGGUGGCACGUGCCUGUAAUCCCAACUACUUGGGAGGCUGAGGUGGGAGGAUUGCUUGAGCCCAGGAGUUCUGGGCUGUAGUGCACUAUGCCGAUUGCCUGUCCGCACUAAGUUUGGCAGCAGUAUGGUGACCUCCCGGGAGUGGGGGACCACCAGGUUGCCUAAGGAGGGGUGAACCAGCCCAGGUCGGAAAUGGAGCAGGUCAAAACUCCCAUGCUGAUCAGUAGUGGGAUUGCACCUGUGAAUAGCCACUGCACUCCAGCCUGGGCAAUGUAGUGAGACCCCAUCUCAU
Molecule: unclassified non-coding RNA, 300 nt
Organism: Callithrix jacchus (white-tufted-ear marmoset)
Lineage: Eukaryota; Metazoa; Chordata; Mammalia; Primates; Cebidae
Rfam family: Metazoan signal recognition particle RNA
About the family: The signal recognition particle (SRP) is a universally conserved ribonucleoprotein. It is involved in the co-translational targeting of proteins to membranes.
Source: Ensembl